CAACAGACAUGGAUCGAGCAGUAAGGUAGACAGAGGUACUCGACAGGAGCCAAAGCUGCCAUUCCAAUUUAAUUGCUUGGCUCAACUGACCCGUGAAACAAGACUUUCCUCACUCCAAAAAUACCUGAAUUUGGAUGAGUUGCAGUCUCAGGAGAUUAAACGUUUCUGCUUCAAACAUCUAUGAAUUUGAGAAGAUCAGCUAAAAUGCGAAGUACAUCUCCUCCUGCCAAGACAUCCAGGAACGCCAGCCGUCCUUCCUCGGCUGCAGUGGAGGGACACGGACCCAAAAGGAACGGCCUUGCCAGGCGCAGCGUGGGAGCUGAAGGUACAGCACCUGCAAGAGCCAGCGUGCAGGGUCAGACAGCUCCUGGAAAACCUGCUCACUUCUCCUUUCGGCACACAAAAUGAGGAGGAACCCUCACUGCAAAGCCUGCCAUCCCACCCCAGGGUCCGCAGCAUCUCCUGGCAGGGAUGCCGGGGCAGGGGAGUUACAUGUGCGGGGAGAGGGAAGCGUUACUCCAUCCUGUGCUUUUCAAGUGGAUGAUUGAACUGGUUGGAUUUUUAAAUGCUAAAAGUACAACCGCUCACAGUCUUCCUUGAAUGAAAGGAAGCAUUGUGUAUGAAACACAGGAAGAAUUUCCUUUACUGUAACUUGUAGGGAGCAGAGGAAAUAAAAGCAGAACAGCAGCUAGAUGGAGGUCAGAUGAUCGUGUGAUUCAUACGGUGAUGCAAGUUAUCAAGUGCGCAGCUCAGUGCACCACCCAAUAAAACCAGAUGCCACCUAAGUACACAAAUAUCACUUACCUCCAGUCACUUACCCCACAUGGAAGUAGUGUCACUCAGAGCAGAAUGGCCUGGUUGUUUUUUUUUUUCCCAGUUUCCUACUAUGAAUUUAAAAAUCAGGGAAAGAUCUAUCAAGUAGGACAGUGAUGAUAUUGAGGCAGAAGCCAGUUUUUUAGAGUUUUAGACCUUACAUU
This 977-nucleotide long non-coding RNA is filed under the name Falco tinnunculus (common kestrel). RNAcentral's name for it is "lncRNA (ENSFTIG00000012301.1)". The record is from RNAcentral. Lineage: Eukaryota; Metazoa; Chordata; Aves; Falconiformes; Falconidae.